This 5289-nucleotide long non-coding RNA is filed under the name Callithrix jacchus (white-tufted-ear marmoset). RNAcentral's name for it is "lncRNA (ENSCJAG00000071865.1)". The record is from RNAcentral. Lineage: Eukaryota; Metazoa; Chordata; Mammalia; Primates; Cebidae.
AUGGGCCAAAUGCCAGCACAAAGGCUCCAGCAGGCGUGGAGCCAGGGAGCUGCCUACGGAUCUCUCUCGAAAGGAGCAAAGUCUGCAGCCCUGCCCGCCUGCUCACCCGUCCUGCCAGCUCAGAUGCCAUCCAUACUACUCCGGCCUCCUUCCUGGGCCUGCAGUUUGGAUCCUGAUGACAGACCUGGCUUGGGAGAACCAGCCAGAUAUGUGAACGGGUCUGAUGGAGGCCUGUCCUGCCUGGAAGACCUGGACACCAGCACUGAUGAGCCUGGUGUCAAGGCAAAGUCCCUAGAGGCACUGCCCAUGGAAUCUAAUAGCAGAAAGGAAGAGGGUGUGCCUAGGGAUGAGGGAAGGGCCGAAGGAAGCAGCCCUUCUAAGAGUGCGUCUAGGAGACUCGGGGCUUAGGUGCCUCAUGGAUCCUGUGAGACUCAAGAGGUAAAACAAUGACGCCCGUGAGCCCCAGAAUGUCACAGAAUCACAGAGUCACCUGACUGGAGACAGGUUGUGGACAGAAACAAGGGACAGCUCCAUGGUGACCUGCAUUGACCCAUGACCCAGAAUGAUAAAUGCCAGGGACAGGUGGCACAGGAGAGCAGGUGGCCAUCCUUCUAUCACCUCUGUACACCAUGCAGAAAUGCAGUCUCUGGGAAAAGGAGGGGCAGAUCAGCUGAGACUGAUUUGUUACCUACCUGGGCUGAAUGGAGGCUCAAAAUAGGAACUCAACUCAGUUAUGAUAGCGAUAUUUAUAUCUACCCCAUACCUGAGUUUAUGGACUGAAAAUUAUACCUUCUACAAGCAAAGGACUGAACUCAGAUGAUAGUAACAUGGCCCAAACAAACACAUAUUCAGAGCUGGGGCCUUGCCUGAAAUAAGGUCCAUCUCUUUCUUCCAUUCCGACUGCUGGGGCAAUUCAGCAUGACACGCCAAGAAUCCGUGAACUAGAUCCAAAGUCUCUCUGGUUGAGGAUUACAACUAUAGCUAAAGGUCCAAACACAGUAAACCAUACAAGGAAUGAGAGUUGAACAGUCAAGGCCCAGACUUCUGCUUGAAGACAAACUUUUGGGGCUACCCAGGGCUGAGUAGGGCUUCAGGCGCCCCUCCUUUCUGUGACUCAGAAGCACUGUGUCCAGGAAAGUCUUCUCGGAAAAAAUGAGGUUGGGGAUGAAAUUUUAAAAUGAGUAGAACUACAAAGGGAGAAAGGGAAGAGUUACCAGGAAAGCAGAACUACAUGAGCAAAGGCCCCACAGUACGGGGGAGCUGGGCUUGCUCAUGGAAGGAAACAGGCUCCAUGUCUGGAGUCUGGGAUCGGAGGUGGGUGAAUGAAGCAGGACCUCACUUGGCACUUUCAAAAGCCAGUUGGGACCUCCCUGUCCUGAGUGAUCCCUUCUUCUGGUGUUCAUACCCAUGGAAUCCCCUCCCUUGAGUUUGGGCUGGAGCCAGUGACUUGCUUCUGAUGAACGGAAUAAAAUAGUGACAGAUGCCCCUUCCAUGGUUUGGUUAUAAAAGACUUCCGUCUCGCUCACAUUCUCUCUUCUGUCCUCACUAGCUUGUUCUGAUGAAGCAGGCUGCCACGUUGUGAGCUGCAUAUGGAAAGGCCCAUGCUGCAUGGCACUGAGGAGCCUCCAGGCAGCAGCCAGUGAGGAGCUGGAUCCUGCCAGCCACCAUGUGAGUGAGCUGGGAAGUGGAUCCAACUCCAUUUCAGCCUUGAGAUGGCCACAGUCCCAUGGACAUCCUACUUGCAGCCUUGUGAGGGGCCUUGAGCCCAAGACCCAGCUAAGCCACACCCAGAUUCUCAACCCAGAGAAACAGUGAGAUAAUAAACUGUGCUGGUUUUUAAGCCACUAUGUUUUGGGGUAAUUUGUUACACCACAAUAGAUAACUAAUUCAGCCAGUAACAUAGACAGAUAUGAGAUAGUGUAAGACAUUUUAGAUUUUAAUGAUUAUCCUUUGGGUAUUAGAGUGUUCCAGGUAGGUUCUCAAACCUGGUACCCACAUGUAAUCCAUCUGAGCUUCUGAUUCUGAACCUUCCUGAUUCAUAUAAUCUACGUAUCACCUGAAGUUAGGUGAAAACUGCUGUUGUUUUACUAACAUCGAGGUGGUCGGUGGACAAUGGGAGGUUGAAAAGAAUGGGGACUAAGCUUGGUUGACAACCUACUGAACUCUGGCUCUUGCAGGAUGUUUUGCUGAAUGUUCAAGUAUCUCACUGAUCCUUAAGGCUAUCCAUGAAUCCUGAGGGGUGCAGUUAAGUAACUCACCCAGGAAUACCCAGCUAGUCAGAGGCAUGACAAGAGCUUCCUGCAGCUCUGCCUUUGAGACCAGCUGUAUGCCACAGGCUUCUGACCUUACUCUCACCAGUGGCCCUUUCCAGAAACAGCUGGUCCACUGAGUGAGGACUGAUGGUGGAGAAGGCAGAAAGCCAAAGAUACCUUAUUGUUCCUGGGGAAAUAUGCCCAGGCAGACCUUUCCAGGGAAGUUGAAGAAGCUGCAUGUUGGCUCUGGGAGAGGUGACAUUCUGCCAUUGCUUCCUACUAAUGGAACCCCUGUGAUUACUAGGAGCAUCCACCUGCCCCAUAAAUGUCCCGGCCUCUCUUGCCAUAGAGGGUACCCAAUAAGAUGUAGGUGGAAGUUACUGGGAGAAGCUUCCAGUAAAGAUUUUUUAAAUUGCUGACUUAGCUGACAAGUGCCUCCUCCUGCACUUCUUACCCCUUCUUGGUGCCUGGACUGUGGACAUAGUGGCUGGAGCUGCAGCAGUGUUUUACAACCAUGCAAUGACCUUGACAGAGGAAGCUACUCUGUAAGAGUAGUAGAGCAUGAAGACGGAAAGAGCCUUGGCCUCUUGGAGGGGAUGACUGGGGCGCCGUCAUUCUAACCCUUGACUAUUUGCAUCAGGAGUUCUUUUAUGUGAAAGAAAAGUAAACCUUUUUCUUCUUUAAGCCACUGUUACCUGGGUUUUCUGUUACAGGUAGCUGAUACUAACCUUGAGUGAUAGACUUGCAUUCUUAGUAAGGCAUUUAAACAGGAUUCGGGGAUUUCAUUUUUAAAUGGCCCGGAUCCCAGACUCUCAAAAUAUCAUUUCCCUUCUCCCCAUCUUAGUUAAAUAGUUAUUGCUGUGCUCUCCAGAGGACAGGGGCACUGAAAUUUCCUGAGCAUCUACUUGACCCCACACACUGCGCAUAAAUCAUAUUCUUUGUACUUGCCUCACAGUGAAUUUGUGAGAUGAGAUCACCACCCCAUUUUACAGACAAGGAAAUGGAAAUCGGACAGAUUGUACCAGUGUUCAGGGAAACACCACUAGAAUUUGAACCCAGACCUCUCUGGCUCCAUGGCCCAGACUUUUUCUGUCUCCCAGGUCUAGAACUCUGUGUCCCAGUUCGUGCAGAAGGUGAAGCCAGUUGGACCAUGCGGAGGGCCCUGGCUCAGGGUGCCAUCCCUUCCCCCAAAUCUCCCACUUGCUGCCACAGGCCGAAGUCUUCUCCACUGCAAGGUGAUAAAGCAGACAGCCCAGCUGGCCGCCCUCUCCUCACUCGCUGCCAUCCUAUUUAGUGACCAUCUGGCUUUCAUCUCUGUAAUUCUCUGACUGUCCCUCCUUGAGGUCCCUCUUAAAGAAGCACACACCCUGUUUGGCUUCAGUAAAGGACCUCUACUUCCAAGCCAAUGCCUCCCCAGCCUUUACCAGGGCAAGCCUAACAAAGAAAAGGUAAAACAACAGGGAUUUCUGGUAGCAACACAAGUCUAUUUCAAACCUCGGAUUAGAGUAUCUGAAAAGGUUACCUGUUCCAAGCAAACACAUUUCCCCCCCUCUGGCAGAAAUGUGGUCGGAGCAGCCUGAUGCCAUGACAGGCUCCAAAUAUUCUCCAUCGAAGCUUGCUUUAUCCUGUUUGAAACUCCUCUGUCUGUCCCCAGAGAGUCUGGAAAUACACUCUUUCUAGGAGCUGAUGGAAAAUUAACCCACAUUAGGAGAGAGCUAGGUGAUGCUGAAUUGGGGACAGGAAGGUCCAUUUGAAAGGGGAAAAAAAAUCAUGUUCUUUGUAACCAGGACAAGGCUAACCAUGCCUUCUCUCUAUUGGUCCAAAUCUAUGCCAGCCUCCCACUGGCAUCUGCAGGCGGGCUGAGAGCAAGCUAUGGAUUUCUAUAGAGAUUGUCACCAUGGUACUAGGUAUCUUAUUCUGUUAUUUCAAGAGGAAAAAUAAUCAAAAGGUCAAAGGAAGAAAAUCUACCAUAGGGCUUUUCAUUUUACAAAUAUUUAUUAAUGCUUUGGUGUGUUCCUGGCAUACAUUAGAUGCUAGCACAAGCAAGAUGGGCUCAGAAAACCCACCUGUAUUGUAUAUUCACCAUGAGGCUAUAGCACAAAGCGAGCCACUGUUUAUCCGUGAUCUGAUUUCUCUCAUGACAGCCUUGAAAUGGCAACAGUAUAAUUCCUAUUUUCUCAACUGGGAGAAAAAUGAAGUAUAAGUGCCCAAGUGUAUCCAGAAUUUGGGAUGAAGGGUGUGGUCUGGACCAGGCCAUCUCAGUUGGAAAUAGAAAGUAAGUGCAGUAGGGAUUAUGAAGAUAAAAGACUGAAAGGUCUAAGAUGUGAGGCAAGGGUGCUCACAGGGUGUUGAGCACCUGCAACUAGCCACAGGGAGACUCUCUUGCCUCCCAUCGGCUUGACAGGCAAGGAAAGGAAACUGCAUUACCAGAGCCUGGUGGGGGCUGGGCUUGGAGCAGGCGAGAGUUGGGCAGAGAAUGGAUAGUGGGUGAGAUGGAAAAUCAAGAGUCCCCAGCACAGAUGCGCUUGCUGACCAAGCUUGGGUUAUGGUCCCCACCCUGGGUGUUGAAGGCCUGUGGCAGGGGAUGCACCCCUGUAGUGAUUAAUCAGCUACCACUGCACUAAUUAUGGGAAACAACUACAAAACUCAGUGGCUUAUGCUAACAAGACUUUCUAUUUCUUUCUUUCUUUUUUUGUUUUUUAGUUUUGCUCUUGUCACCCAGGCUGGAGUGCAGUGGCACAAUCUCAGCUAACUGCAACCUCCGCCUCCCAGGUCAAGCAAUUCUCCUGCCUCAGCCUCCAGAGUAGCUGGGAUUACGGGCAUGCACAACCAUGCCUGGCUGAUUUUGUAUUUUUAGGAGAGAUGAGUUUCUUCAUGUUGGCCAGGCUGCUCUUGAACUCCCAACCUCAGGUGACCUGCCCACAUCAGCCUCCCAAAGUGCUGAGAUUACAGGUGUGAGUCAUUGCACCUGGUCACCUUUCUAUUUCUUACUUAUAAAUCCGGAAAUAAGUUGCAUCCUUGCUGGGAGGGACUGAGC